This 271-nucleotide ribosomal RNA is filed under the name uncultured archaeon. RNAcentral describes it as "partial 16S ribosomal RNA". It matches the Rfam family "Archaeal small subunit ribosomal RNA", at positions 477 to 747 of the family's 1478-position model. The record is from RNAcentral.
CGGCGGCCCGAGUGGUAGCCGUUUUUAUUGGGUCUAAAGGGUCCGUAGCCGGCUUGAUAAGUCUUUUGGGAAAUCUGACAGCUUAACUGUCAGGCUUCUAAGGGAUACUGUCAGGCUUGGGACCGGAAGAGGUAAGGGGUACUCCAGGGGUAGGAGUGAAAUCUUGUAAUCCCUGGGGGACCAUCUGUGGCGAAGGCGCCUUACCAGAACGGGUCCGACGGUGAGGGACGAAAGCUAGGGGAGCAAACCGGAUUAGAGACCCGCGUAGUCC